RNAcentral lists this ribosomal RNA (482 nucleotides) under uncultured bacterium. RNAcentral's name for it is "partial 16S ribosomal RNA". It matches the Rfam family "Bacterial small subunit ribosomal RNA", at positions 30 to 507 of the family's 1533-position model. The record is from RNAcentral.
AUUGAACGCUGGCGGCAUGCUUUACACAUGCAAGUCGAACGGUAACAGGCCGCAAGGUGCUGACGAGUGGCGAACGGGUGAGUAAUGCAUCGGAACGUGCCCAGUCGUGGGGGAUAACUACUCGAAAGAGUAGCUAAUACCGCAUACGAUCUAUGGAUGAAAGCGGGGGACCGUAAGGCCUCGCGCGAUUGGAGCGGCCGAUGUCAGAUUAGGUAGUUGGUGGGGUAAAGGCUCACCAAGCCAACGAUCUGUAGCUGGUCUGAGAGGACGACCAGCCACACUGGGACUGAGACACGGCCCAGACUCCUACGGGAGGCAGCAGUGGGGAAUUUUGGACAAUGGGCGCAAGCCUGAUCCAGCAAUGCCGCGUGCAGGAAGAAGGCCUUCGGGUUGUAAACUGCUUUUGUACGGAACGAAACGGCUCUGGUUAAUACCCGGGGCUAAUGGCGGUACCGUAAGAAUAAGCACCGGCUAACUACGUG